UGGGGAAUAUUGCACAAUGGGGGAAACCCUGAUGCAGCGACGCAGCGUGCGGGAUGACGGCCUUCGGGUUGUAAACCGCUUUCAGCAGGGAAGAAGCCUCACGGUGACGGUACCUGCAGAAGAAGUACCGGCUAACUACGUGCCAGCAGCCGCGGUAAUACGUAGGGUACGAGCGUUGUCCGGAAUUAUUGGGCGUAAAGAGCUCGUAGGUGGUUGGUCACGUCUGCUGUGGAAACGCAACGCUUAACGUUGCGCGUGCAGUGGGUACGGGCUGACUAGAGUGCAGUAGGGGAGUCUGGAAUUCCUGGUGUAGCGGUGAAAUGCGCAGACAUCAGGAGGAACACCGGUGGCGAAGGCGGGACUCUGGGCUGUAACUGACACUGAGGAGCGAAAGCAUGGGGAGCGAACA
Molecule: ribosomal RNA, 409 nt
Filed under: uncultured bacterium
Lineage: Bacteria
Description: partial 16S ribosomal RNA
Rfam family: Bacterial small subunit ribosomal RNA
Source: RNAcentral